Molecule: long non-coding RNA, 1001 nt
Filed under: Dasypus novemcinctus (nine-banded armadillo)
Lineage: Eukaryota; Metazoa; Chordata; Mammalia; Cingulata; Dasypodidae
Description: lncRNA (ENSDNOG00000051134.1)
Source: RNAcentral
CAAAGCACAGUGAACCCUGUGGUGGAUGAUGGACUGUGGUUUCUUAUUUUGUUUCUGUUUUUGACAAGCAGAUAAAGGCUUGUUCUAUUGAAUGAUUGGUCUGUAUAGUUGCUGAGCCACUGUGUACAGAUGGGAGAGGGGAGCUUUCUUUCUUGGUCUGUUCCUCCUCAUAGGCUUGGUAGUCUUGUUGGCCCGUAGCCGCUCCUCACGGCGCUUGUGCACCUCCUUGGUCUUGGACCUGUGGCUUCCUGCUGGUCAGCCAGGAAUUUCUUGUGGGCCUUGUCUGCUGCAGCCUGUGGAUGUGUCCCAUGGGAAUCUGCUUGUUCUUGAACACCUUCCCUUUUACCUUCAGCAGGGGACACUGGAGGCAAGCCUCUUCGGAAGCCUGAGCAGACUUAUGGCGGUGGCAGCAGCACCGAAAGGAAAGAACAUUUUUUAAAAUAAGGAAAUGAAAUAAAAUUUUAAAAAUAGCCAAUAUAAUACAAAAAAAAUUGAAACAAUUUGAAAUAAUAAAAACUUUUAUAUGCUGUUGUCUUUCAUCACUGUAAGAUCUUGUCUUGUAUGUACAGUGAUAUUUUCUUCAAUAUAUUCCCCCAGUGUCUUAUUUUAUUCGUUUAUUUUCGAAGAAGCUUUAGGAUACAGAAAAUUCACAUAGAGAAUAGAGGUGAUUCCCAUAUGCCCCUCUCCUUAUUAAUAAUAUCUUACGUGUGAAUGAUUCAUUUGUUACAGUUAAUGUACAAAUAUUGAUGCAUUGCUUCUCACCAUAGUCAAUGGUUUACAUUAUGGUUUACAUUUUGAAUCAUACUCUUUUAUAGGUUUUGACAAAAUUUGAAGUAGCCUGUAUCUGUUAUUGCAAGAUCAUGCUGAAUAAUUCUAAUGCCUUAAAAAUGCCCUGCGUUCCAUUCUAUUCUUCCCUUUCUCUCCCUUCGGAAGCUAUGGGAAUUACUGUUUCAAUAUAAGAUUCAUAGUUACUUGCAGUAAUAUUGCGGACUUGAUAUAUU